CAGUCGCCGCGGGAAUACGAAGGGGGCUAGCGUUGUUCGGAAUUACUGGGCGUAAAGCGCACGUAGGCGGACAUUUAAGUCAGGGGUGAAAUCCCGGGGCUCAACCCCGGAACUGCCUUUGAUACUGGGUGUCUAGAGUAUGGAAGAGGUGAGUGGAAUUCCGAGUGUAGAGGUGAAAUUCGUAGAUAUUCGGAGGAACACCAGUGGCGAAGGCGGCUCACUGGUCCAUUACUGACGCUGAGGUGCGAAAGCGUGGGGAGCAAACAGGAUUAGAUACCCCAGUAGUCCCUGUCUCUUAUAU
Molecule: ribosomal RNA, 301 nt
Filed under: uncultured bacterium
Lineage: Bacteria
Description: partial 16S ribosomal RNA
Rfam family: Bacterial small subunit ribosomal RNA
Source: RNAcentral